RNAcentral lists this ribosomal RNA (254 nucleotides) under uncultured bacterium. RNAcentral's name for it is "partial 16S ribosomal RNA". It matches the Rfam family "Bacterial small subunit ribosomal RNA", at positions 524 to 776 of the family's 1533-position model. The record is from RNAcentral.
UACGGGGGGAGCAAGCGUUGUUCGGAUUUACUGGGCGUAAAGGGCGCGUAGGCGGCCAGCACACGUCGGUUGUGGAAUCUCCGGGCUUAACUCGGAAAGGUCAACCGAUAUUGUGCGGCUAGAGUGCGGAAGGGGCAACUGGAAUUCUCGGUGUAGCGGUGAAAUGCGUAGAUAUCGAGAGGAACACCUGCGGCGAAGGCGGGUUGCUGGGCCGACACUGACGCUGAUGCGCGAAAGCCAGGGGAGCGAACGGG